CGACGGUANCAGGAGANAGCUUGCUNUCUUGCUGACGAGUGGCGGACGGGUGAGUAAUGCUUGGGAAUCUGGCUUAUGGAGGGGGAUAACUACUGGAAACGGUAGCUAAUACCGCAUAAGGUCUAAGGACAAAAGGGGGCGUAAGCUCUUGCCAUAAGAUGAGCCCAAGUGGGAUUAGGUAGUUGGUGAGGUAAUGGCUCACCAAGCCUGCGAUCUCUAGCUGGUCUGAGAGGAUGRCCAGCCACACCGGGACUGAGACACGGCCCGGACUCCUACGGGAGGCAGCAGUGGGGAAUAUUGCGCAAUGGGGGGAACCCUGACGCAGCCNUGCCGCGUGAAUGAAGAAGGNCUUCGGGUUGUAAAGUUCUUUCGGUGAUGAGGAAGGNGAUAAGGUUAAUACCCUUAUUAAUUGACGUUAGUCACAGAAGAAGCACCGGCUAACUCCGUGCCAGCAGCCGCGGUAAUACGGAGGGUGCGAGCGUUAAUCGGAAUAACUGGGCGUAAAGGGCACGCAGGCGGAUUUUUAAGUGAGGUGUGAAAGCCCCGGGCUUAACCUGGGAAUAGCAUUUCANANUGGGAAUCUAGAGUACUUUAGGGAGGGGUAGAAUUCCACGUGUAGCGGUGAAAUGCGUAGAGAUGUGGAGGAAUACCGAANGCGAANGCAGCCCCUUGGGAAUGUACUGACGCUCAUGUGCGAAAGCGUGGGGAGCAAACAGGAUUANAUACCCUGGUAGUCCACGCUGUAAACGCUGUCGAUUUGGGGGUUGGGCUUUAAGCUUGGCGCCCGUAGCUAACGUGAUAAAUCGACCGCCUGGGGAGUACGGCCGCAAGGUUAAAACUCA
Molecule: ribosomal RNA, 842 nt
Filed under: Rodentibacter pneumotropicus
Lineage: Bacteria; Pseudomonadati; Pseudomonadota; Gammaproteobacteria; Pasteurellales; Pasteurellaceae
Description: bacterial SSU rRNA
Source: RNAcentral